This 421-nucleotide ribosomal RNA is filed under the name uncultured Bacteroidota bacterium. RNAcentral describes it as "bacterial SSU rRNA". It matches the Rfam family "Bacterial small subunit ribosomal RNA", at positions 356 to 774 of the family's 1533-position model. The record is from RNAcentral. Lineage: Bacteria; Pseudomonadati; Bacteroidota.
GAGGAAUAUUGGACAAUGGAUGGAAAUCUGAUCCAGUCAUGCCGCGUGCAGGAAGACUGCCUUAUGGGUUGUAAACUGCUUUUAUACGGGAGCAAUAAGGGUUACGUGUAGCCUGAUGAGAGUACUGUAUGAAUAAGGAUCGGCUAACUCCGUGCCAGCAGCCGCGGUAAUACGGAGGAUCCGAGCGUUAUCCGGAAUUAUUGGGUUUAAAGGGUGCGUAGGCGGCUAUUUAAGUCAGCGGUGAAAUUUUGCAGCUUAACUGUAACAGUGCCGUUGAAACUGUUUAGCUAGGAUUUGGUUGCAGUGUGCGGAAUGUGUGGUGUAGCGGUGAAAUGCUUAGAUAUCACACAGAACACCAAUUGCGAAGGCAGCACACUAAGUCAAUAUUGACGCUGAGGCACGAAAGUGUGGGGAUCAAACA